Molecule: ribosomal RNA, 497 nt
Filed under: uncultured bacterium
Lineage: Bacteria
Description: partial 16S ribosomal RNA
Rfam family: Bacterial small subunit ribosomal RNA
Source: RNAcentral
GAUGAACGCUGGCGGCGUGCCUAAUACAUGCAAGUCGAGCGAACAGACGAGGAGCUUGCUCCUCUGACGUUAGCGGCGGACGGGUGAGUAACACGUGGAUAACCUACCUAUAAGACUGGGAUAACUUCGGGAAACCGGAGCUAAUACCGGAUAAUAUAUUGAACCGCAUGGUUCAAUAGUGAAAGACGGUUUUGCUGUCACUUAUAGAUGGAUCCGCGCCGCAUUAGCUAGUUGGUAAGGUAACGGCUUACCAAGGCAACGAUGCGUAGCCGACCUGAGAGGGUGACCGGCCACACUGGAACUGAGACACGGUCCAGACUCCUACGGGAGGCAGCAGUAGGGAAUCGUCCGCAAUGGGCGAAAGCUUGACGGAGCAACGCCGCGUGAGUGAUGAAGGUCUUCGGAUCGUAAAACUCUGUUAUUAGGGAAGAACAAAUGUGUAAGUAACUAUGCACGUCUUGACGGUACCUAAUCAGAAAGCCACGGCUAACUACGUG